UAAUAAAAAAAAGAUCAAUUUUUUUAGAGAAAAUUUUAUCCUCUCUUCCUCUACUCUCACACCUGCGUCCUUCCUACACUCACCUUCCAUGUUCAUCUUCUUCAAUCUCACUCCACCUAGAAACCGUCGACUUUCUUUGCACCGUCGUCACUCUCAAUCCAUCAAGAACCCUUCUUCUUCUCCUUCUUCUUCUUCUUCUUCUUCUUCUUCUUCUUCUUCUUCUUCUUCUUCUUCUUCUUCUUCUUCUUCUUCUUCUUCUUCGACCUUUCCUCACCAUCCUCUCUCACCCAGAAACUCAUUGAUACGCUAAACCCCAUAGAAUCCCAAUCGAUUAAACCCAAAAUACCAUUUAAACUCAGCCCUUAAAAAUCAAUUGAACCUAGAGAUAGGAAAAAGGAUAUUGUUGGCAGCUGGUGAUACAUUCAGAGCAGCUGCUAGUGAUCAGCUAGAAAUAUGGGCUGAAAUGACUGGGUGUGAGAUUGUUAUGGCUGAAACUGGGAAAGCGAAGGCAUCAGUAGUGCUUUCACAGGCUGUAAAAAGAGGAAAACAGGAAGGUUAUGAUAUUGUAUUAUGUGAUACAUCUGGACAUUCUGGGAAAGAAGGUGCGGUGCCAACGGCGCCGGCAGUGAGGAGAUGAAGAGAGGAAAAUGAAAAACGUUCGAAUUCCUUCCCGGCGGAACUCUCAUCCACUGUCAAAUGCAUCGAGUCACACGAUAAGAUGAGCAAUAUUUUGGCAGAUUAGAUAAUCACGGAUUUGGGAUGUUUAUUAGCAGUCUGAGGUGCAGCCGCAUCAGCAGUAGCACCUGAAUACCGUAAAAAGAAGAUCACUUGGAUAAGGAUCAAAUCAGUUGAGACCUGCAAAUGGAUUGGACUGUACAAAAAUAAUUUGUGAAUGGUUUAAUGCAUCAACCGAAA
Molecule: long non-coding RNA, 915 nt
Organism: Trifolium pratense (red clover)
Lineage: Eukaryota; Viridiplantae; Streptophyta; Magnoliopsida; Fabales; Fabaceae
Exons: 6
Source: RefSeq, a predicted model, not a curated record